RNAcentral lists this ribosomal RNA (1588 nucleotides) under Mantella madagascariensis (Madagascar golden frog). RNAcentral's name for it is "16S rRNA". It matches the Rfam family "Bacterial large subunit ribosomal RNA", at positions 371 to 2925 of the family's 2925-position model. The record is from RNAcentral. Lineage: Eukaryota; Metazoa; Chordata; Amphibia; Anura; Mantellidae.
GCCAAAAAUCUAGCCUUUAAACAACCUAUGCAACCUCCUAUUUAUUUUAAUUUAAUAAAACAUUUUUUUAUUCUAGUAGAUGAGAUCAAAAAAUUUCUUAGCGCUUCAGAUUAAGUACCGCAAGGGAAAGAUUAAAUAAUAAUGAAAUAACAUCAAAGCAUCUAAUAGCAGAGUUUUAUUCUCGUACCUUUUGCAUCAUGGUCUAGCUAGUUUAACUAAGCAAAACGAAUUUUAAGUUUAACCCCCCGAAACUGAUGUGAGCUACUUCGAAACAGCUAUAAGAGCCAACCCGUCUCUGUUGCAAUAGAGUGGAAAGAUUUCCAAGUAGAGGUGAUAAACCUACCGCACUCAGAAAUAGCUGGUUACUCAAGAAAAGAAUAUAAGUUCAACCUUAAGUUUAUUUUAGUUCUUCUAAACCUUAAUAAAACUUAAGAGCUAUUCAAAUAAGGCACAGCUUAUUUGAAACAGGAUACAACCUUUAUUAUAGGGUAAUACAUCAAAAAUAAAAUGAUUAGUGGGCCUAAAAGCAGCCACCUUAAAUAAAAGCGUCAAAGCUUAACAUUUUCUUUUUCUAAUUCCUCAAACCACCUAAAACCCCUCCCCAAUAUUGAGUAAUUCCAUAAAAAUAUGGAAGAUAUUAUGCUAGAACUAGUAACAAGAAAUAACCUUUCUCCAAAAUGUAAGUCUAAGCCACAUUAGAUAAACUAAUGGCAAUUAACGAAAAUGAACCUCCUUUAGUAACUAACCAAGAAAAUUCUACAAACCAAAACGUUAACCUUACACUAGAACAUUAAUGGAAAGAUUAAAAGAAAAAGAAGGAACUCGGCAAAUCUUAACCCCGCCUGUUUACCAAAAACAUCGCCUCUUGAAAUCAAAUAUAAGAGGUCUAGCCUGCCCAGUGAUAAAAUUCAACGGCCGCGGUACCCUAACCGUGCGAAGGUAGCAUAAUCACUUGUUCUUUAAAUGAGGACUUGUAUCAACGGCAUCACGAGGGUUACACUGUCUCCUUUUUCCAAUCAGUGAAACUGAUCUCUCCGUGAAGAAGCGGAGAUUUUUUUAUAAGACGAGAAGACCCCAUGGAGCUUUAAACCCACCUGCACUCCUAUUUUCUACUGCCUCUAAAACUAUGGAAUCUGCAUUCUUGGUUUUAGGUUGGGGUGACCGCGGAGCACAAUACAGCCUCCACGAUGAACGGGGUUUACCCCCUUAUCUAAGAGCUACACCUCUAAGAAUUAGCAUUCUAACAUAAAAUGAUCCGACAAUCGAUCAACGAACCAAGUUACCCUGGGGAUAACAGCGCAAUCCACUUCAAGAGCCCCUAUCGACAAGUGGGUUUACGACCUCGAUGUUGGAUCAGGGUAUCCUAGUGGUGCAGCAGCUACUAAAGGUUCGUUUGUUCAACGAUUAAAACCCUACGUGAUCUGAGUUCAGACCGGAGUAAUCCAGGUCGGUUUCUAUCUAUAAAGAGUUGUUCCUAGUACGAAAGGACCGGAACAACAUGGCCCAUGCUCAAACAAACCAUCAUAUUUUAUUAAUGAAUUUAACUUAAUUACCUAUUUAUCUAUUACUGCCCCUCCAAAACCAGGAC